This 253-nucleotide ribosomal RNA is filed under the name uncultured bacterium. Its description in RNAcentral is "partial 16S ribosomal RNA". It matches the Rfam family "Bacterial small subunit ribosomal RNA", at positions 524 to 776 of the family's 1533-position model. The record is from RNAcentral.
UACGAAGGGUGCAAGCGUUACUCGGAAUUACUGGGCGUAAAGCGUGCGUAGGUGGUUCGUUAAGUCUGUCGUGAAAGCCCCGGGCUCAACCUGGGAAUGGCGAUGGAUACUGGCGGGCUAGAGUGCGGUAGAGGAGAAUGGAAUUCCCGGUGUAGCGGUGAAAUGCGCAGAUAUCGGGAGGAACACCGGUGGCGAAGGCGGUUCUCUGGGCCUUACCUGACGCUGAGGAGCGAAAGCGUGGGGAGCGAACAGG